Molecule: long non-coding RNA, 464 nt
Organism: Solanum tuberosum (potato)
Lineage: Eukaryota; Viridiplantae; Streptophyta; Magnoliopsida; Solanales; Solanaceae
Exons: 3
Source: RefSeq, a predicted model, not a curated record
ACUGAUGAAAAAUUUAAAAAGAGGAGUGAGAUUGGGAAGAUGGCUCGCGCAUCAGAAAAGGGAGGCUCUUUGCACACUAGUGGAGCUAUUAGCCAGGUUACUAGGAAGGAAAGAAUGGAAAAAGAGUUGGGUAGGCCGGUAGCUGUACCAGAGAUGUUCAAGGUUACUCACGUCAAGAAGAGUACGAACCCCACAGAAGAAGAAAGAUGGAUUGAGCCACGUGCUCAAGAGACAUAUGAUAGGUAUAUACGAAUAUCUUAGGAAUAUCGUAGUACUCUACCUCUUGAGAGUCAGGACAGACCAUUUACACAAGAAAAAAACGAGAAUCUUUGGAAACAGAGUGCUGGUGAACCGAUUAGAGGUUCAGUCUACGGCUAUCCAGAAAAGGCGUAUCAGAAAAAGAAGUCUUGGUAUUGUGGUUCAUCAUCCUCAAGCUUUGAUGGUGGGGAUAGAGAGACAAUAAC